RNAcentral lists this ribosomal RNA (468 nucleotides) under uncultured bacterium. RNAcentral's name for it is "partial 16S ribosomal RNA". It matches the Rfam family "Bacterial small subunit ribosomal RNA", at positions 28 to 507 of the family's 1533-position model. The record is from RNAcentral.
GAUGAACGCUGGCGGCGUGCUUAACACAUGCAGGUCGAACGGUGAAGGCGGAGCUUGCUCUGCUGGAUCAGUGGCGAACGGGUGAGUAACACGUGAGCAAUCUGCCCCUGACUCUGGGAUAAGCGCUGGAAACGGCGUCUAAUACUGGAUACGAGCUGCGAAGGCAUCUUCAGCAGCUGGAAAGAACUUCGGUCAGGGAUGAGCUCGCGGCCUAUCAGCUUGUUGGUGAGGUAACGGCUCACCAAGGCGUCGACGGGUAGCCGGCCUGAGAGGGUGACCGGCCACACUGGGACUGAGACACGGCCCAGACUCCUACGGGAGGCAGCAGUGGGGAAUAUUGCACAAUGGGCGAAAGCCUGAUGCAGCAACGCCGCGUGAGGGACGACGGCCUUCGGGUUGUAAACCUCUUUUAGCAGGGAAGAAGCGAAAGUGACGGUACCUGCAGAAAAAGCGCCGGCUAACUACGUG